AGAGUUUGAUCCUGGCUCAGGAUGAACGCUGGCGGCGUGCCUAAUACAUGCAAGUCGAACGGGAACCACAUUCGUAAGGGUGUGAAUUCUAGUGGCAAACGGGUGAGUAACACGUAGUUGUCCUACCCUGAAGAGGAGGACAACAUCUCGAAAGGGAUGCUAAUACUCCAUAAGCACACGGAGGUUAGAGGCUCUGAGUGAAAAGGGGUUGCCUUCGGGCAACAUGCUUCAGGAGGGGACUGCGGACCAUCAGCUAGUUGGUGAGGUAGAAGCUCACCAAGGCGAAGACGGAUAGGGGGCCUGAGAGGGUGGUCCCCCACACGGGCACUGAGAGACGGGCCCGACUCCUACGGGAGGCAGCAGUAAGGGAUAUUGCGCAAUGGGCGAAAGCCUGACGCAGCAACGCCGCGUGCCCGAUGAAGGCCUUCGGGUCGUAAAGGGCUUUUCUGGGAGAAGAGGAAGGACGGUACCCCAGGAAUAAGUGUCGGCUAACUACGUGCCAGCAGCCGCGGUAAAACGUAGGACGCGAGCGUUAUCCGGAGUUACUGGGCGUAAAGGGCGGGCAGGCGGAUUGCCAAGUUGGUUGUGAAAUCUCCCGGCUAAACUGGGAGGGAGCAAUCGAAACUGGCAGUCUAGAGGACAGCAGAGGGUCGUGGAAUUCCGGGUGGAGUGGUGAAAUGCGUAGAGAUCCGGAGGAACACCAGAGGCGAAAGCGGCGACCUGGGCUGUAAUUGACGCUGAACCGCGAAAGCCAGGGGAGCGAACGGGAUUAGAAACCCCGGUAGUCCUGGCCGUAAACGAUGCCAACUGGGUGUUGGUGGUGAGAGCCAUCAGCGCCGGAGCUAACGCGGUAAGUUGGCCGCCUGGGGAGUACGACCGCAAGGUUAAAACUCAAAGGAAUUGACGGGGGCCCGCACAAGCAGCGGAGCGUGUGGUUUAAUUCGAGACAACGCGAAGAACCUUACCUGGGUUAGACACCAACCUGGUAGCGAGUCGAAAGACGAGUGACCCUUCGGGGAGGGUUGGCAGGUGCUGCAUGGCUGUCGUCAGCUCGUGCCGUGAGGUGUUAGGUUAAGUCCUGUAACGAGCGCAACCCUUACAGCCAGUUACAAGUGUCUGGCAGGACUGCCGGUGUGAAGCCGGAGGAAGGUGGGGAUGACGUCAAGUCAGCAUGGCCUUUAUGUCCAGGGCUACAUACACGCUACAAUGGGCGGUACAGAGGGAAGCGAAAUCGCGAGGUGGAGCGGAUCUCAGAAAGCCGUUCGUAGUUCGGAUUGCAGGCUGCAACCCGCCUGCAUGAAGCCGGAGUUGCUAGUAACCGCCGGUCAGCCACACGGCGGUGAAUACGUUCCCGGGCCUUGUACACACCGCCCGUCACGUCAUGGGAGCUGGCAACACCUGAAGUCGGUGAGCGAACCGCAAGGACGCAGCCGCCGAAGGUGGGGCUGGUGACUGGGACGAAGUCGUAACAAGGUA
This 1476-nucleotide ribosomal RNA is filed under the name metagenome. RNAcentral's name for it is "bacterial SSU rRNA". It matches the Rfam family "Bacterial small subunit ribosomal RNA". The record is from RNAcentral.